CGUAGACACCGGUUUCCGUACGAUCACCGAAGUUAAGCAAUGUCGAGACCGGUCAGUACCUAGAUGGGUGAUCGUUUGGGAAUACCAGGUGCUGUAA
Non-coding RNA from Acanthosepion pharaonis, 97 nucleotides. Lineage: Eukaryota; Metazoa; Mollusca; Cephalopoda; Sepiida; Sepiidae. The record is from the annotation of a GenBank genome assembly.